UACGUAGGGGGCUAGCGUUGUCCGGAAUCAUUGGGCGUAAAGAGCUCGUAGGCGGUUUGGCAAGUCGGGUGUGAAAACUCCGGGCUCAACUCGGAGACGCCACUCGAUACUGCCAUGACUCGAGUCCGGUAGGGGAGUGCGGAAUUCCUGGUGUAGCGGUGAAAUGCGCAGAUAUCAGGAGGAACACCUGAGGCGAAGGCGGCUUUCUGGACAGAAACUGACGCUGAUGCGCGAAAGCUAGGGGAGCAAACAGG
This 254-nucleotide ribosomal RNA is filed under the name uncultured bacterium. RNAcentral's name for it is "partial 16S ribosomal RNA". It matches the Rfam family "Bacterial small subunit ribosomal RNA", at positions 524 to 776 of the family's 1533-position model. The record is from RNAcentral.